This 72-nucleotide transfer RNA is filed under the name Pithovirus LCPAC304. RNAcentral describes it as "tRNA-His". It matches the Rfam family "tRNA". Rfam says of the family: Transfer RNA (tRNA) molecules are approximately 80 nucleotides in length. Their secondary structure includes four short double-helical elements and three loops (D, anti-codon, and T loops). The record is from RNAcentral. Lineage: Varidnaviria; Bamfordvirae; Nucleocytoviricota; Megaviricetes; Pimascovirales; Pithoviridae.
UCUUCCGUAGUGUAGUAGGUAUCACGCGAGGCUGUGAACUUCGAAACCGCGGUUCGAUUCCGCGCGGAGGAA